UUUGGUGGCGAUAGCGAAGAGGUCACACCCGUUCCCAUACCGAACACGGAAGUUAAGCUCUUCAGCGCCGAUGGUAGUCGGGGGUUUCCCCCUGUAAGAGUAGGACGCCGCCAAGC
This 116-nucleotide ribosomal RNA is filed under the name Bacillus subtilis. Lineage: Bacteria; Bacillati; Bacillota; Bacilli; Caryophanales; Bacillaceae. The record is from RNAcentral.